Myotis daubentonii (Daubenton's bat) is the source of this 201-nucleotide long non-coding RNA. RefSeq lists it as uncharacterized. The transcript has 2 exons. The record is from RefSeq and is a predicted model, not a curated record. NCBI's taxonomy places the organism in Eukaryota, Metazoa, Chordata, Mammalia, Chiroptera, Vespertilionidae.
UCCAGGAACCAAGAGGAAGUUUCUCAAAACUAGAAGGGAAAGGAAUUUUCCCCCAUGUCAGUCCAGCUUUGGAGACAUUCUAGUAGUACUAUAUGUCCUUCCCGCAAAAUAACAAUGAAGUGUUCUGUGUGCUAACAACAUAGCUUAAAAAAAAAAAAAAGUUAAACAAAAUUCUGCAUUUUUAUAAAACCUGAUCAAAAA